UGAAAAUUUACCCUAUUGAAUUCAUAUCACUUUGUCCUUUUCUAAUCAGAAUGGUCCCUUGCUAUCAAAACUAGCUUAUCUAGAUUACCCUUAUUCAUCAAAUAGCAGUGAAAUCAAUACCUAUGUUAAUUGUUCAAGUAAGAAGGAUGGUCAUUCAAAAGAUUUUUUGCCGGAUAGAAACGCUAAAAACCUUGAUCACUUUGCUCUGUCCAGCUAAAACGUGAAUGCCAUUUAUGACUCCAAUGGAAAAAAUGGCGUUUCAGAUGCUUCUCCAGCUCACAAAAAGGAUAAGAUAGCUUUCGAAAGCAACGAAAGGUUGGAAGAUAGCUCACCAAUUACCUCAAAUGUCAGCGGCUCUCAUCGUAUGGUGCAUUGCCGUGAAUGUCUUGGUUCCAAGAAUCCCGGUGUUAAUGAAAAUGAUAUAGAGAGCGCAGGUGAUUCUGAAGAUGGGCCCUUUGAUGACCAGUAUGUCUACAGCCUAUGCUUAGAUAGUAAUUUGCAUCUCUCUGCAUAUAAGGCCUCUAGGCUUAUUAAGCAUAGACAGUGAAAUCGAUCGAAAAAAUGAAGAUUAUUUGGCCAAAUUGACAAAAAGAAAGUGUUCUAUCUCUCCCCUUUCUGAAGCGGCAAAGACUGUUUGCUUUGGGAAAUCGCUUGGCAUCAUUUUCCAUGGCGAUGAGGCUUUUGGUUGAGGAUUUCACCAAUAAUAUUUCCAGAGACAAAUCUUUAUGUAGCAAUGCGAUCUAACAGGGCUGCUAUGUGGUGAUUUCUCAUCUGGUAUUGUGGUGAUUUCUCAUCUGGUAUUCUCUGUGGUUGUAUUUUCUCCUGUUUUUGAGUUUUUCUCAGUUUGCUUUUAUUUUUAACUAUUAUAUGUUAGUAUGCCUGUGAUUCUUUCUUGGAAUGCAAGGGGUUUAGGAGGUAAAUCGAAAGCUUCACACCUGAAAAAAUUAAUCUUCAAGCAUAAAGUUGAUAUGGUUCUCAUCUUGGAAUCAAAAUGUUGUAGUUCCUCAGUGCCUUUCUCUAUUAUAAGAAAUUUUUGGGGUAUGGCUAAUUUGGAUUGGGUAGGUGUGGAUGUUGUUGGUUUGUCUGGAGGAAUCUUAUGCAUCUGGAAUAAAGAUUAUGUGAGCGUCUCUUGCAGUUUUAAAUUCCAAUCAUGGAUGCUUCUGUCCUGCCGCUUUUCUUCCCCGAUUUUUAGUUCGUUCGUUGAUGUCAUCUAUGCCCCUUGUUGAAAGCAAGAACAACAAUGUCUUUGGGAAUCCAUUACUCAUGAUCUUACUAAUUUGGCAUAACCUGUUUUAAUAAUGGGAGACUUUAAUCAAGUGUUAGACCGCUCGCAAAGAUCCAGUGGUAAUGCUUCUUCCUCAGGUGUUCGAUUUUUUAAGAAAAUGGUGGAUGAUCUCCUCUGGUUGAUAUAGAUUUGUGUAGGCGGAAAUUCACAUGGCGUAAUUCUCUUUCUAAGAAUCGAAUUGAUAGAGCUCUUGUCUCUUUCCAUUGGUUGCAAGAUUUUCCUAAUCUCUGUUUAGUUGGGUUGCCAAGGGGACCUUCAGACCAUAAUCCUAUUUUGCUAAUAUCUGAGCUUGCUCUUGACUGGGGACCUAAGCCUUUUCCUUUCCUUGAUGCAUGGUGGUCUUGGCCUGGUUUUGUGAAAUUGAUGGAAUCUUUUUGGAAUGAAAUUAUGGAUGUUAAUCCCUCUACUUCUCUCGUAGUGAAACUAAAGCUGCUUCGCCAAAAAUUGAAAUCUUGGAACUCUGAAGUUUUUGGGUAUGCUGAUAUUAAUUUAAAGCAGAUUUGCUCUAAGAUUGAUGAGUUAGAAAUUGCUGGGGAGAACAGGAUAUUAACAUCUGGGGAAAAAAAAGAAUUUUCUUUCAUUAAUGGCUGAUAAAGCUUCUUAGACUUCUCAUUGUGAAAGUAUUUGGAGACAGAAAGCUCGUAUGGCUUGGUGUAAGUUAGCGGAUAAAAAUACAAGAUUUUUUCAUUUAUAGUGUUUGAAUCGAUGGAGGAAGAAUACCAUCCUUAAAAUCUCAAAUGUAGAUAUGUCCUUUCAUGAUGCAACUUUAAUAAAGAGGAUCAUUGUUGACUAUUUUAAAGAUCGCUUUUGUAAACAACGUUCUUUUUCUGAUAUUCUCCUUAAUAUGCCUUUACAAUCACUUCCAUCAAAAUUUUCUGAAAGUCUUGAAUUGCCCUUUUCUUUGGAAGAAAUAAAAUCGGUUGUAUGGCAAUAUGAUUCUUCUAAAGCUCCUGGCCCUGAUAGUGCAAAUUUCUACUUUUAUAAAUGGGCAUAGCCUCUUAUUAAGGAGGACCUCUCUAGGCUUUUUUAUGAGUUUUUCACCAGUGCUUCUCUUUCAUCUCCUACUCAUGCCUCUUUUAUUGCUUUGAUUCUAAAAGUUAUGGGUGCCUCAAGAGCAAAUGAUUUUAGACCAAUAUCCAUGGUGUUUAUAAAAUAGUUUCUAACUUGUUGGCUGCUAGGCUUAAGAAAGUACUCUCUCUGAUCAUCAGUAAGAAUUAAUGUGCUUUUGUUUCAAGUAUGCAGAUUCUUGACUGUUUUCUCAUUACUUUGAAAGUAAUUGAUUUUUCACAAGAAGGCUGGGAAGGGAUAUUUUAUAUUCAAAUUAGAUUUUGAAAAAGGCUUUUGAUACUGUUUGCCAAAACCAUCUAGACCACACUAUGUCAUGCAUGGGUUUUGUGUUAAAAUGGAGAAAAUAAAUAUGGACUUGUGUCUCAAAGGCAAGAGUUAAUAUUUUAAUCAAUGGGUGCCCUUCAGAGGAAUUCUCCUAGUAGAAUGGCCUACGCCAAGGUGAUCCACUUUCUCCUUUUUUAUUUAUUAUUGCUGCUGAACUGUUAGAUUUUCUUAUCAAUUCAGCCAUCAACAAUGGCCAUCUUAAAAGUGUUGAGGUAGGUGCUGGAAACCAUAGCUUCUCCAUUUCUCAUUUAUGCUUCGCAGAUGAUACUCUCCUUUUCACUACCCCUCAUACUGAUAAUGUUCUGGCAAUCUAAAGAAUCCUUCGUUGCUUUUAUUAUAUUUCUUGCUUGAGUGUCAAUUUCCAUAAGAGUAUGCUUUUUGGUAUUGGUGUUGCUUCGGAUGUAACUCAGGAAGCUGCUAAUCUCUAUUGCUGUAAUUAUGGUUCUUUACCAACAAGAUAUUUUGGUUUUCCUCUUGGUACUAAUAGUAGAAGAUGCACCACAUGGUCACCAAUAGUCCAAAAUGUUGAAAAGAGAUUGUCUUUUUGGAAAGGUAAAGUUCUCUCAAUAGCUGGAAGGUUAACUUAGAUCAAGUCAUGCAUCAACAGUUUGCCCCUUUAUUAUCUUUCUAUCUUUAAGGUCUCCAAAAAGAUAGCUAAUAAAAUUGAGACUCGUAUGCGAAACUUUUUUUGUCUGGUGGUAUGUCUAGUACAAAAUUACACCUUAUCAACUGGAAUACUCUGAUUCAGUCUAAAACAGAUGGUGGUUAAGAGAUUAAAGACAUUAGUCUACAAAAUCUGGCCCUUCUCUUUAAUUGGAUUUGAAGACUUAGCACUGACCAAGAAUCUCUUUGGGGUCGGGUCUUAAAAUCAAAGUAUCCUUUUCAGGUGGAUGGUGGGCUUGCUAUAGCUGUGGGUAAAAAAUUGUUCCCUAUUUGGACUGACAUCCAAAAAUCUUUAUCUAUAAAGGGCGCAUUUUUUAUUUUGGAAAAUAUCUCCUUUGCUAUUUGUAAUGGAGAUUAAAUUAAGUUUUGGCAUGACAAAUGGCUUAGUGAUACACCUUUGAAAUUUAUUUUUAUCAGUCUUUUUAGUUUAUCAUUAGAUCAGGAUGUUGUGGUGGGCGACCUAGGUUAUUGGAUCUGGAAGCUCUUUUGGAAGCACAACCUAUGGGAGUGGGAGCUUAUCUCUCUAGUCACUUGCUUGCUGCUAUUAGUAAUGUGAAUUUAUGCAAUUUUAAGCAAGACCGUUUCAUUUGGAAAUCGGAGAAAAAUAUGCUUUUUUUUCCAUGAAAUCUCUUUAAAAAUAUGCUUUUUUUUUUUUCUAUGAAAUCUCUUUAAAAAUGUUUGCUAGCCUCAUCUUGUGAUAUGAAGUUGGGUGUACCUUUUGUUUAGUUAGGUAUUACUCCACCAAAAGUUGGAAAUCUGAUUUGGUUGAUAAGUCAUGGUAGAUUAUAUUCAAAAGAUUGUUUUUGUCAUCUUGGUAUUAUUCCACCUGACUAGAAUUUAUGUCCGAGAUGUGGUAUGUUUGUGGAAACUAUCUCUCAUAUCUUUAUUCACUAUUUGUUUUCUUGGAAUGUCUGGGUAUGGUUCCUUAGAUGGUGGAGUUGUUCUUUUUGUGUUCCCAUCUCCGUCCCAUCUGUUUUAGUUGAAGGACAAUUUUUAGUGGUUGAUAAAUUUCAAAGAAAAUUUUGGGUUGCUUUAGCUUAUGCAAUUCUAUGGUCCCUUUGGUUGGCGAGAAAUGAUAAAAUCUUUAAUGAGAAAGAUGCUUAAUUAAUGAGUUUUAUUGUCUUAUUUUGCACCGUGUUUCUACUUGGAUGAAGGCUCUAGAUGCUGCGUGAGGCAAACUGGAUUGCAGACUUCUUAGCCAAACAAGAAAAUAGUGUAAAAGGUAAUUUGGAGAAAAUACUCUUAAAAUUGCGUAAAAAGGAACAAAGGAAAAUAAGCUUAUUGUCCAAGUCAACUUGCAGCUGAAGUGAAGAUAAAUAAUGAAAGAGCCAAAUAAGGAAAGUGCAGUAGUGAAGAUAAAUAAGAAAAGCGCAGUCAGCAGAAUAAUUUGAAAUUCAAAUUUCAAAUCUUCCUUCCUUUAUUUAAAAUGUGAAGACACCUCAGCAUUUAGUUCUGCCUAUUCAGGAAGCCAAAUCUCAAGAAGAUGCACUUGCCUCUCAAGCAUUCAAAAUUUGAAAUUCAAAAUUCAAAAGGAGGCUUCACCUGACAAGCAAACUUAGAGCAACACUCUUCUCCUCUUACUUUGGGAUCAAGCAAGCUGCACGCCUAUAUAAGAGCAUCAACAAGCAUCGGCCACACUUUUUUCGCAUCUCAGAUUCGGCGCAGGCUUCCCUUCUCCUCCAAGUCAAGCCAUUCGGCCAUCUCUUCUUCUCCUCUUUCUUUUUAUUUUUGGUUUUGUUUCAGUCAUGAGUGGCUGAAACCCUUUUUUCUAGUUGAAGAUUGAUUGAUACUUUAGUUGUUUUAUGGAUUGGAGAUCUGAA
This is a long non-coding RNA of Manihot esculenta (cassava), 5160 nucleotides long. RefSeq lists it as uncharacterized. The record is from RefSeq and is a predicted model, not a curated record. Lineage: Eukaryota; Viridiplantae; Streptophyta; Magnoliopsida; Malpighiales; Euphorbiaceae. The transcript is spliced from 3 exons.